AGAGAGAGACAUGCGCGCAUAUCAAUAAGCGGAGGAAAAGAAACUAACAAGGAUUCCCCUAGUAACGGCGAGUGAAGCGGGAAGAGCUCAAAUUUGAAAUCUUAAAGGGUUUCCCUUUACGAAUUGUAGUUUAAAGAAGUGUUUUCUGUUGAGGUUUUGGUAAAAGUUCUUUGGAAUAGGACAUCAUAGAGGGUGAGAAUCCCGUAUUUGACCUUUACUUUCAACUUUGUGAUACACUUUCGAAGAGUCGGAUUGUUUGGGAAUGCAGUCCAAAAUGGGUGGUAAAUUUCAUCUAAAGCUAAAUAUUGGCGAGAGACCGAUAGCGAACAAGUACCGUGAGGGAAAGAUGAAAAGAACUUUGAAAAGAGAGUUAAACAGUACGUGAAAUUGUCAAAAGGGAAGCGUUUGACACCAGUGUUGUUUUUCUGAAAAUCAAUUAAAGAACUGUUUAUGCUAAGCUGUUUAGACUUUAUCAGCUAACUGUUUAGUUUUGAGCUUUUCUUUAAUGCACUUUUCAGUUAACAAGUCAACAUCAAUUUCUUUUGCUGUAAAAAAGCUUGAGGAAGGUGGCUUGAGAUUCGUCUUAAGUGUUUAUAGCCUCUUGCCUAUGCAGUCGGAGAGAUUGAGGUCUGCAGCGUAGAUCCUUCGGGGCUAAAUGCAUUUGUGCUAAGUUAUAGCAUUUUAUAGACAACUUGUUGACUAUGAUUUGUCUUGUAGCUUACUCGCUUAUGUUAUUUUACCUACGCUUAGGAUGUUGAGCGCAUGUCUCUCUCU
Molecule: ribosomal RNA, 774 nt
Filed under: uncultured Neocallimastigales
Lineage: Eukaryota; Fungi; Neocallimastigomycota; Neocallimastigomycetes; Neocallimastigales
Description: partial large subunit ribosomal RNA
Rfam family: Eukaryotic large subunit ribosomal RNA
Source: RNAcentral